GCAUUGGUGGUUCAGUGGUAGAAUUCUCGCCUGCCACGCUGGAGGCCCGGGUCCGAUUCCCGGCCAAUGCA
RNAcentral lists this transfer RNA (71 nucleotides) under Anguilla anguilla (European eel). It matches the Rfam family "tRNA". Rfam says of the family: Transfer RNA (tRNA) molecules are approximately 80 nucleotides in length. The record is from Rfam by way of RNAcentral. Lineage: Eukaryota; Metazoa; Chordata; Actinopteri; Anguilliformes; Anguillidae.